RNAcentral lists this ribosomal RNA (376 nucleotides) under uncultured Serratia sp. RNAcentral's name for it is "bacterial SSU rRNA". It matches the Rfam family "Bacterial small subunit ribosomal RNA", at positions 521 to 896 of the family's 1533-position model. Lineage: Bacteria; Pseudomonadati; Pseudomonadota; Gammaproteobacteria; Enterobacterales; Yersiniaceae. The record is from RNAcentral.
UAAUACGGAGGGUGCAAGCGUUAAUCGGAAUUACUGGGCGUAAAGCGCACGCAGGCGGUUUGUUAAGUCAGAUGUGAAAUCCCCGGGCUCAACCUGGGAACUGCAUUUGAAACUGGCAAGCUAGAGUCUCGUAGAGGGGGGUAGAAUUCCAGGUGUAGCGGUGAAAUGCGUAGAGAUCUGGAGGAAUACCGGUGGCGAAGGCGGCCCCCUGGACGAAGACUGACGCUCAGGUGCGAAAGCGUGGGGAGCAAACAGGAUUAGAUACCCUGGUAGUCCACGCUGUAAACGAUGUCGAUUUGGAGGUUGUGCCCUUGAGGCGUGGCUUCCGGAGCUAACGCGUUAAGUCGACCGCCUGGGGAGUACGGCCACAAGGUUA